This 459-nucleotide ribosomal RNA is filed under the name uncultured Lysobacterales bacterium. RNAcentral's name for it is "bacterial SSU rRNA". It matches the Rfam family "Bacterial small subunit ribosomal RNA", at positions 341 to 792 of the family's 1533-position model. Lineage: Bacteria; Pseudomonadati; Pseudomonadota; Gammaproteobacteria; Lysobacterales. The record is from RNAcentral.
ACGGGAGGCAGCAGUGGGGAAUAUUGGACAAUGGGCGCAAGCCUGAUCCAGCCAUGCCGCGUGAGUGAAGAAGGCCUUCGGGUUGUAAAGCUCUUUUGUCCGGAAAGAAAAGCCUUCGGUUAAUACCCGGGGGUGAUGACGGUACCGGAAGAAUAAGCACCGGCUAACUUCGUGCCAGCAGCCGCGGUAAUACGAAGGGUGCAAGCGUUACUCGGAAUUACUGGGCGUAAAGCGUGCGUAGGUGGUUCGUUAAGUCUGAUGUGAAAGCCCUGGGCUCAACCUGGGAAUGGCAUUGGAAACUGGCGACCUAGAGUGCGGUAGAGGGUAGUGGAAUUCCCGGUGUAGCAGUGAAAUGCGUAGAGAUCGGGAGGAACAUCCGUGGCGAAGGCGACUACCUGGACCAGCACUGACACUGAGGCACGAAAGCGUGGGGAGCAAACAGGAUUAGAUACCCUGGUA